RNAcentral lists this ribosomal RNA (470 nucleotides) under Salmonella enterica subsp. enterica serovar Give. RNAcentral describes it as "partial 23S ribosomal RNA". It matches the Rfam family "Bacterial large subunit ribosomal RNA", at positions 504 to 875 of the family's 2925-position model. Lineage: Bacteria; Pseudomonadati; Pseudomonadota; Gammaproteobacteria; Enterobacterales; Enterobacteriaceae. The record is from RNAcentral.
UGAGGGAAAGGCGAAAAGAACCCCGGCGAGGGGAGUGAAAAAGAACCUGAAACCGUGUACGUACAAGCAGUGGGAGCCCCACCACUAAGCCAGUGGUGAACUCCACAUACGCAUCCUUUGCUGAGGAUACGGUUAACGGAGCGAAAGCGACGUUCAACCUCAAAAGAAGCAGAGGGGGCUUAGUGGUGGGGUGACUGCGUACCUUUUGUAUAAUGGGUCAGCGACUUAUAUUCUGUAGCAAGGUUAACCGUAUAGGGGAGCCGGAGGGAAACCGAGUCUUAACCGGGCGUUAAGUUGCAGGGUAUAGACCCGAAACCCGGUGAUCUAGCCAUGGGCAGGUUGAAGGUUGGGUAACACUAACUGGAGGACCGAACCGACUAAUGUUGAAAAAUUAGCGGAUGACCUGUGGCUGGGGGUGAAAGGCCAAUCAAACCGGGAGAUAGCUGGUUCUCCCCGAAAGCUAUUUAGGU